This 25-nucleotide non-coding RNA is filed under the name Mus musculus (house mouse). The record is from RNAcentral. Lineage: Eukaryota; Metazoa; Chordata; Mammalia; Rodentia; Muridae.
UAAAUGAUUAAUGGCUGGGAUGGUA